GGGUAAGAGCAUUCUGCACAAAUGAUUGGAAAAACAAGUGCAUUACUGUAUAGAAUAGAACAUGUUACACAAACAAGUACCACCAUAGAACAAAAGUCCCGCAACUGUUUCCAUCUUUUUGUGAGGUGGAGCAGAGAGCACCAGUUCUCCAGUAUCCUCACAACUCAUUAUUAUUAUUAUUAUUAUUAUUAUUGUUGUUGUUGUUGUCCUGUAUCUCACAGCCCAUAUUCUUCCUGAGUAAAUAAGUGAAACACACAUUGUUUUACAUGAAUGCUGGACAGAGUUGUGUUUCUGAGUUAAAAAAUAUAUUUGUGGGGGGUCUGGAUAGAUCAGUGAGUAUUGACGAUGACUAUAAUCACUGGAGUCGCGAGAUCUAAUCCAGGGCCUGCUGAGUGACUCCAGUCAGGUCUCCUAAGCAACCAAAUUGGCCCGGUUGAUAGGGAGGGUAGAGUCACAUGGGGUCACCUCCUCGUGGUCGCUAUAAUGUGGUUCCUGCACGUGGUGAGUUGUGUGUGGAUGCUGCAGAGAAUAGCGUGAAGCCUCCACACGUGCUACGUUUCCACGGUGAUAAGAUGCUACGUCAAGCCACGUGACAAGUUGCACGGAUUGAGCGCUUUGGGAACGGGGCAUUCCAAAUUGGAGAGAAUAGGGGAGAAAAUUUUUAAAAAUGUGGUUGUAAAGAGUAGCACCUCUAGUUUCGUUUGAUAUGCUGCUUUAAAUACUUCGGGGGGGUUUACACUGUGGCACGCUGAUAAACAUGAAGUACUCGGAUGAGUGCUGUGGAGUGGUUCCAAAAUCAUCUUCAUUAUUUUGAACAACUUUUCACAAAUCUUUUGGUCAUUUUGCUUCAUUUUAAUCUAAAUUUUGUUAUAUUAUUUUUUGUUCACACUGUACAAUAAGGUGCUAUUAAUUUAUUUACUGUGCAAUUAUCACAUUGAGAAUAAAUGAGUUCAUGCAAAAGCUGGGAAAUGUGGCUUUCAGAGGCUUUAUAUGGAGUUAGGAUGUAAAUAAGGUGCAUUUCAAACUGUUCUGAGACCAGUGCAGACAGACAGCACACUGGAGGUUAAGUCAUGCACUAAAUAGGGAGCAAGGGAGCAUCCUAUAGCUCUCCUAUAACUGUUCUGAGACCAGUGCAGACAGACAGCACACUGGAGGUUAAGUCAUGCACUAAAUAGGGAGCAAGGGAGCAUCCUAUAACUCUCCUAUAACUGUUCUGAGACCAGUGCAGACAGACAGCACACUGCAGGUCAAGUCAUGCACAAAAUAGGGAGCAAGGGAGCAUCCUAUAGCUCUCCUAUAACUGUUCUGAGCACAGUGCAGACAGACAGCACACUGGAAGUUAAGUCAUGCACUAAAUAGGGAGCAAGGGAGCAUCCUAUAACUCUCCUAUAACUGUUCUGAGACCAGUGCAGACAGACAGCACACUGGAGGUUAAGUCAUGUACUAAAUAGGGAGCAAGGGAGCAUCCCAUAACUCUCCUAUAACUGUUCUGAGACCAGUGCAGACAGACAGCACACUGGAGGUUAAGUCAUGUACUAAAUAGGGAGCAAGGGAGCAUCCUAUAACUCUCCUAUAACUGUUCUGAGACCAGUGCAGACAGACAGCACACUGCAGGUCAAGUCAUGCACAAAAUAGGGAGCAAGGGAGCAUCCUAUAACUCUCCUAUAACUGUUCUGAGACCAGUGCAGACAGACAGCACACUGGAGGUUAAGUCAUGCACUAAAUAGGGAGCAAGGGAGCAUCCUAUAACUCUCCUAUAACUGUUCUGAGACCAGUGCAGACAGACAGCACACUGGAGGUUAAGUCAUGCACUAAAUAGGGAGCAAGGGAGCAUCCUAUAGCUCUCUAUAACUGUUCUGAGACCAGUGCAGACAGACAGCACACUGGAGGUUAAGUCAUGCACUAAAUAGGGAGCAAGCGAGCAUCCUAUAGCUCUCCUAUAACUGUUCUGAGACCAGUGCAGACAGACAGCACACUGGAGGUUAAGUCAUGCACUAAAUAGGGAGCAAGGGAGCAUCCUAUAACUCUCCUAUAACUGUUCUGAGACCAGUGCAGACAGACAGCACACUGGAGGUUAAGUCAUGCACUAAAUAGGGAGCAAGGGAGCAUCCUAUAACUCUCCUAUAACUGUUCUGAGACCAGUGCAGACAGACAGCACACUGCAGGUCAAGUCAUGCACAAAAUAGGGAGCAAGGGAGCAUCCUAUAACUCUCCUAUAACUGUUCUGAGACCAGUGCAGACAGACAGCACACUGCAGGUCAAGUCAUGCACAAAAUAGGGAGCAAGGGAGCAUCCUAUAACUCUCCUAUAACUGUUCUGAGACCAGUGCAGACAGACAGCACACUGGAGGUCAAGUCAUGCACUAAAUAGGGAGCAAGGGAGCAUCCUAUAGCUCUCCUAUAACUGUUCUGAGACCAGUGCAGACAGACAGCACACUGCAGGUCAAGUCAUGCACAAAAUAGGGAGCAAGGGAGCAUCCUAUAACUCUCCUAUAACUGUUCUGAGACCAGUGCAGACAGACAGCACACUGGAGGUUAAGUCAUGCACUAAAUAGGGAGCAAGGGAGCAUCCUAUAACUCUCCUAUAACUGUUCUGAGACCAGUGCAGACAGACAGCACACUGCAGGUCAAGUCAUGCACAAAAUAGGGAGCAAGGGAGCAUCCUAUAACUCUCCUAUAACUGUUCUGAGACCAGUGCAGACAGACAGCACACUGCAGGUCAAGUCAUGCACAAAAUAGGGAGCAAGGGAACAUCCUAUAGCUCUCCUAUAACUGUUCUGAGCACAGUGCAGACAGACAGCACACUGGAAGUUAAGUCAUGCACUAAAUAGGGAGCAAGGGAGCAUCCUAUAACUCUCCUAUAACUGUUCUGAGACCAGUGCAGACAGACAGCACACUGGAGGUUAAGUCAUGCACUAAAUAGGGAGCAAGGGAGCAUCCUAUAACUCUCCUAUAACUGUUCUGAGACCAGUGCAGACAGACAGCACACUGCAGGUCAAGUCAUGCACAAAAUAGGGAGCAAGGGAGCAUCCUAUAACUCUCCUAUAACUGUUCUGAGACCAGUGCAGACAGACAGCACACUGCAGGUCAAGUCAUGCACAAAAUAGGGAGCAAGGGAGCAUCCUAUAACUCUCCUAUAACUGUUCUGAGACCAGUGCAGACAGACAGCACACUGCAGGUCAAGUCAUGCACAAAAUAGGGAGCAAGGGAGCAUCCUAUAACUCUCCUAUAACUGUUCUGAGACCAGUGCAGACAGACAGCACACUGCAGGUCAAGUCAUGCACAAAAUAGGGAGCAAGGGAGCAUCCUAUAACUCUCCUAUAACUGUUCUGAGACCAGUGCAGACAGACAGCACACUGGAGGUUAAGUCAUGCACUAAAUAGGGAGCAAGGGAGCAUCCUAUAACUCUCCUAUAACUGUUCUGAGACCAGUGCAGACAGACAGCACACUGCAGGUCAAGUCAUGCACAAAAUAGGGAGCAAGGGAGCAUCC
Long non-coding RNA from Xyrauchen texanus (razorback sucker), 3491 nucleotides. RefSeq lists it as uncharacterized. The record is from RefSeq and is a predicted model, not a curated record. Lineage: Eukaryota; Metazoa; Chordata; Actinopteri; Cypriniformes; Catostomidae. The transcript is spliced from 3 exons.